This is a non-coding RNA of Callorhinus ursinus (northern fur seal), 1825 nucleotides long. The record is from RefSeq and is a predicted model, not a curated record. Lineage: Eukaryota; Metazoa; Chordata; Mammalia; Carnivora; Otariidae.
UCUCACGACCCUGAGAUCAGUACCUGAGCCAAAAUCAAGAGUCGGUGCUUAACCGACUACGCCUCCCAGGCUCUCCCCAGAUUCCUCCUGCUGAGGCUUCAAGCAAGGCAGAAACACCAGAUAGGGUUUCUACCUGUGGCAACUGUCCACAUUUGGAUCGGAUAAGCUUUAGUGGUGGGGGAUUGUCCCGUGCAUCGUAGGAUGUGGAGCAGCGUCGUUGGCCUCUUCCCAGGUGGUGACAACCAAAAUACGGCCAGACCUUGCCGGACGGCCCCUGGAGGAGAAGCAUGCUCUGGUGGCUAUCUGCUGCACCUGAAGAAUCAACUGUGGGAGUUGAGGGACUGGGAGAAACGAGCCCUGGACCUCCUGAAUUUGACUCCUGAGUGCCAGGAUGGGACCCAAGAUGCUAGGAAGGGGGGGAAUAGAAGUCUGGGCUCUAAGACAAGUGCAGCUCAGAGUGAGGGAGCGUUUGUUUGGCUAGAGACUAGCUUCCUUUGUGCUUCUGAGUAUGGGCCUGAUGGAGACGGGAGGCAUCAGACGGCUCCUCCCGCUUCCCAGGCUCUGGCUGAAGCUCCGGGCUGGGGGGCCAGCCUUGGCGCAGGGGGCGCCCCUCGCUCUCGUGGGGACCCUCCAUCUCCCCGGCUCCCGUCGCUCCUUGAAGACAGGACUUGGGCCAUGUGGGGCUCUAGCCCCAGCACACCAGCUUCUCAAUGAACAUUAGGGGGCAGGGCAGAGAGAAGGAGUGUGCGCUCGUGUCUCUCCUUACAAGGGCAUCGGUCCCAUUUGUGAGGUUCCACCCUCAUGAUCUCGUCCGUCACCUCCCAAAGCCCCCCUCCCCCAACACCAUCACAUGGGGCAUUAGGAUUUCAACGCACACAUUUGGGGGGGAGGCCAACACACAUUCAAGCUACAAGAGCUGGCAAACAAUCUGUGCAUGAAAACCCAUCAACUCAUCUAGAAAAAGAAAGGGGCAGCUGAAGAUGAUGAAGUGGAGAACUCUUUCUUGCUGAGUGUGGGAGAAGUGGGGGCUUUAAGUCUGUACUAGUGAGGGCUCAGCUCGUCUAGCCGUGAUGGGGAGAGCCGGAACAUUCUUGGGGUUGAUCAUAGGACAGACGGAAUCGCUGGAUGUUUUCCCCAGGGAAAGAUGGGACCCCAGGCAGCUCUGCCUUGGGACAUAAAUCUCCCCAGGCGAUCCUAAGGCCUCCCUCCAGGGCACUGCUGGCCGCUGUGGGGUGCAUUCGUGGUCAUCACUUUUGGGAGCAAGAAUCUGAUUGACUCACCCUGAGCAGCACACCCCUGCACUUUGUGGUUGGCAGUCAGCCUCUAAUUUGUGACCGGUGGGGGACUCGAGCGGCUCUGACUGACAGUCCCUGACCCACCCAUCAAUGUUCUCAUACGGAAGCAGGGGCAGAGCGCCCCAUGUGGAGCAACAGAAGGACUCACCCCACAGCAUGCGGGGGCCGUCCCAAGGAAGGAAACACAUUAAAUGACACCCGGGGAUCUAGUUCUUUAACUGGAAAUAUAGAAGUAUGGCCAAACAUGGGGGGGGGGGAAGCCUAAAAUAGUAUAAAAAUGGCAUUUUAAGUGAGUAGGAAAAUUAUUUCAUAAUUGGUCUUGGGAUGGUCGUGUGCCAUCUGGAGAAAACCUUGGGAUUCCCACCUCACUCUGCAUUCCAAGAUGAAUUCCAGAAAGAGCAAUACAAAUGAUAAAAACAAAACAAAACAAAAACGAAGCCAUAACAGCGUUAGAAAUAAAAAUGGGAGAUUUUUGCAAUCCCAGCAUGGGAAAAGCUUUUCCAAGCAUGUCAUAAAACCCAGAAACCAAA